Molecule: ribosomal RNA, 535 nt
Filed under: Shigella flexneri
Lineage: Bacteria; Pseudomonadati; Pseudomonadota; Gammaproteobacteria; Enterobacterales; Enterobacteriaceae
Description: partial 23S ribosomal RNA
Rfam family: Bacterial large subunit ribosomal RNA
Source: RNAcentral
GGCUAAUCCUGGUCGGACAUCAGGAGGUUAGUGCAAUGGCAUAAGCCAGCUUGACUGCGAGCGUGACGGCGCGAGCAGGUGCGAAAGCAGGUCAUAGUGAUCCGGUGGUUCUGAAUGGAAGGGCCAUCGCUCAACGGAUAAAAGGUACUCCGGGGAUAACAGGCUGAUACCGCCCAAGAGUUCAUAUCGACGGCGGUGUUUGGCACCUCGAUGUCGGCUCAUCACAUCCUGGGGCUGAAGUAGGUCCCAAGGGUAUGGCUGUUCGCCAUUUAAAGUGGUACGCGAGCUGGGUUUAGAACGUCGUGAGACAGUUCGGUCCCUAUCUGCCGUGGGCGCUGGAGAACUGAGGGGGGCUGCUCCUAGUACGAGAGGACCGGAGUGGACGCAUCACUGGUGUUCGGGUUGUCAUGCCAAUGGCACUGCCCGGUAGCUAAAUGCGGAAGAGAUAAGUGCUGAAAGCAUCUAAGCACGAAACUUGCCCCGAGAUGAGUUCUCCCUGACCCUUUAAGGGUCCUGAAGGAACGUUGAAGACGAC